UUGAAUUGAAGAGUUUGAUCAUGGCUCAGAUUGAACGCUGGCGGCAGGCUUAACACAUGCAAGUCGAACGGUAGCAGGAGAAAGCUUGCUUUCUUGCUGACGAGUGGCGGACGGGUGAGUAAUGCUUGGGAAUCUGGCUUAUGGAGGGGGAUAACUACGGGAAACUGUAGCUAAUACCGCGUAGUAUCGGAAGAUGAAAGUGCGGGACCGUAAGGCCGCAUGCCAUGAGAUGAGCCCAAGUGGGAUUAGGUAGUUGGUGGGGUAAAGGCCUACCAAGCCUGCGAUCUCUAGCUGGUCUGAGAGGAUGGCCAGCCACACUGGAACUGAGACACGGUCCAGACUCCUACGGGAGGCAGCAGUGGGGAAUAUUGCGCAAUGGGGGGAACCCUGACGCAGCCAUGCCGCGUGAAUGAAGAAGGCCUUCGGGUUGUAAAGUUCUUUCGGUAUUGAGGAAGGAGUGUAUGUUAAUAGCAUACAUUAUUGACGUUAAAUACAGAAGAAGCACCGGCUAACUCCGUGCCAGCA
Molecule: ribosomal RNA, 525 nt
Filed under: Haemophilus haemolyticus
Lineage: Bacteria; Pseudomonadati; Pseudomonadota; Gammaproteobacteria; Pasteurellales; Pasteurellaceae
Description: bacterial SSU rRNA
Rfam family: Bacterial small subunit ribosomal RNA
Source: RNAcentral